Alexandromys fortis (reed vole) is the source of this 104-nucleotide small nuclear RNA. The record is from RefSeq and is a predicted model, not a curated record. NCBI's taxonomy places the organism in Eukaryota, Metazoa, Chordata, Mammalia, Rodentia, Cricetidae.
GUGAAGGAGGCAUGCAGCACAUAUACUAAAAUUGGAACGAUACAGAGAAGAUUAGCAUGGCCCCUGUGCAAGGAUGACACUCAAAUUCGUGAAGCCUGUUCUUU